Molecule: long non-coding RNA, 459 nt
Filed under: Aquilegia coerulea
Lineage: Eukaryota; Viridiplantae; Streptophyta; Magnoliopsida; Ranunculales; Ranunculaceae
Description: long non-coding RNA (ACOE_LNC001022)
Source: RNAcentral
AUGCCUAAGCAUUUCGUCCAGUGAUUCUCAGAUGAGCUGCCAACCAUACAAUGACAUGAAACAGAACAUGCCUAACCAAUCCCAGCUGCGUUUUGUUGUCCUGUGUAGUCUCCCGCCAGAAUUGCUUCCCAGUGACGUAUCAUGUCACAAAACUUGAACAUUGAUCUCCCAAUCUAUUUACCACACCAAUACCAAGUCAGCGCCUUGGUUUCAAGCUGCAGUUUGUGAAUAGAGACUGGCCUGUCCUUGAACACCUAGCCAUUUAUGUGCUUUCAUACGACCCACACUGCUUGUAGGGAAUAAGAGGCCCCCAGCGGUUGGUGAGAGCAAGAGACCAUUGGAGAAUAAUAUAAACCCUAACUCUUCCAAUUUAUUGAGAGCAAGAGAUAUUGAGAGCAAAAGUUUAUUUUAAUUACACCACAUUAUAAUAAGUGCGCAGGGAUGGAGCCAGGAUUUUUG